RNAcentral lists this ribosomal RNA (686 nucleotides) under Escherichia sp. Its description in RNAcentral is "bacterial SSU rRNA". It matches the Rfam family "Bacterial small subunit ribosomal RNA", at positions 73 to 753 of the family's 1533-position model. Lineage: Bacteria; Pseudomonadati; Pseudomonadota; Gammaproteobacteria; Enterobacterales; Enterobacteriaceae. The record is from RNAcentral.
AGCUUGCUUCUUUGCUGACGAGUGGCGGACGGGUGAGUAAUGUCUGGGAAACUGCCUGAUGGAGGGGGAUAACUACUGGAAACGGUAGCUAAUACCGCAUAACGUCGCAAGACCAAAGAGGGGGACCUUCGGGCCUCUUGCCAUCGGAUGUGCCCAGAUGGGAUUAGCUAGUAGGUGGGGUAACGGCUCACCUAGGCGACGAUCCCUAGCUGGUCUGAGAGGAUGACCAGCCACACUGGAACUGAGACACGGUCCAGACUCCUACGGGAGGCAGCAGUGGGGAAUAUUGCACAAUGGGCGCAAGCCUGAUGCAGCCAUGCCGCGUGUAUGAAGAAGGCCUUCGGGUUGUAAAGUACUUUCAGCGGGGAGGAAGGGAGUAAAGUUAAUACCUUUGCUCAUUGACGUUACCCGCAGAAGAAGCACCGGCUAACUCCGUGCCAGCAGCCGCGGUAAUACGGAGGGUGCAAGCGUUAAUCGGAAUUACUGGGCGUAAAGCGCACGCAGGCGGUUUGUUAAGUCAGAUGUGAAAUCCCCGGGCUCAACCUGGGAACUGCAUCUGAUACUGGCAAGCUUGAGUCUCGUAGAGGGGGGUAGAAUUCCAGGUGUAGCGGUGAAAUGCGUAGAGAUCUGGAGGAAUACCCGGUGGCGAAGGCGGCCCCCUGACGAAGACUACGUCAGUCAAAGCG